UACGAAGGGGGCUAGCGUUGUUCGGAAUUACUGGGCGUAAAGCGCACGUAGGCGGAUAUUUAAGUCAGGGGUGAAAUCCCAGAGCUCAACUCUGGAACUGCCUUUGAUACUGGGUAUCUCGAGUAUGGAAGAGGUGAGUGGAAUUCCGAGUGUAGAGGUGAAAUUCGUAGAUAUUCGGAGGAACACCAGUGGCGAAGGCGGCUCACUGGUCCAUUACUGACGCUGAGGAGCGAAAGCGUGGGGAGCGAACAGG
RNAcentral lists this ribosomal RNA (253 nucleotides) under uncultured bacterium. Its description in RNAcentral is "partial 16S ribosomal RNA". It matches the Rfam family "Bacterial small subunit ribosomal RNA", at positions 524 to 776 of the family's 1533-position model. The record is from RNAcentral.